Non-coding RNA from Microcebus murinus (gray mouse lemur), 4322 nucleotides. Lineage: Eukaryota; Metazoa; Chordata; Mammalia; Primates; Cheirogaleidae. The record is from RefSeq and is a predicted model, not a curated record.
CAGGGGCAGCUGCUGACCUCAUAAUGGCGGGAUCUGCUGUCCCUGGCCAGCCCACCAGCUGCUGGCCAGCUGCUGCCCCUGGCUGCCGGGCAUGUCCCUCCUCAGCAGCUAUGAGGGCCUGCGGCAGGAGAUCCAGCGGCUGGCACAAGAGAACGAGGAACUGCGGCGGCUUGUGCAGCUCAUACAGGAGAACCAAGAGCUGAAGCUGGUGCUCAGGAACCGGGGCAGCAGCCUGGGCUUCUGCAGCUCUGGGUUCCUGGCUGAGGUCACUGCCAGUCCCCGACCGGCUAGGCGAAGAACAAUCAAAUUCAAAGAUGCUGACAGAGUUCUCCCAGGGCUACCAGCUGAAGAGCCGCUACUGGCCACCAGUCCCACUAUCAUGGGCACCCCAGAGGGGCGCUUCCACUUUGCCAUCGACCGAGGAGGCACAUUCACAGACGUCUUUGCCCAAUGCCCUGGUGGGCACGUGCGGGUCUUGAAACUGCUCUCAGAGGAUCCUGCUAACUAUGUGGAUGCACCUACUGAGGGUAUCCGCCGCAUCCUGGAGCAGGAGGGGGGCAUGCCAUUGCCCCGGGACCGGCCACUGGACACUAGCCGCAUUGCCAGCAUCCGCAUGGGCACUACAGUGGCCACCAAUGCACUGCUGGAGCGGAGGGGGGAACGGGUGGCACUGCUGGUGACACGUGGCUUCCGAGACCUGCUGCACAUUGGCACCCAGGCCCGUGAGGACCUCUUUGACCUGGCCGUGCCCAUGCCUGAGGUGCUGUAUGAGGAGGUGCUGGAGGUAGAUGAGCGCGUGGUGCUGUACCGAGGGGAGCCAGGCGCCGGGACGCCCAUCAAAGGCCGCACAGGGGACCUGCUGGAAGUGCAGCGGCCGGUGGACCUGGGGGCCCUGCGUGGGAAGCUGGAGGGGCUCCUAUCUCGAGGCAUCCGCAGCCUGGCUGUGGUGCUCAUGCACUCGUACACGUGGACCCAGCACGAGCAGCAGGUGGGUGCACUGGCCCGGGAGCUGGGCUUCACUCACGUGUCCCUGUCCUCGGAGGCCAUGCCCAUGGUACGCAUUGUUCCUCGGGGGCACACGGCCUGUGCCGACGCCUACCUCACACCCACCAUACAGCGCUAUGUGCAGGGCUUCCGCCGAGGCUUCCAGGGCCAGCUCAAGGAUGUACAGGUGCUGUUUAUGCGCUCUGAUGGCGGCCUGGUGCCCAUGGACACCUUCAGUGGCUCCCGUGCUGUGCUCUCAGGCCCCGCUGGUGGUGUAGUUGGCUACUCAGCCACCACCUACCAGCUGGAGGGCGGCCAACCUGUCAUCGGCUUUGACAUGGGAGGCACAUCCACAGAUGUGAGCCGCUAUGCUGGGGAAUUUGAACAUGUCUUUGAGGCCAGCACAGCUGGUGUCACCCUCCAGGCCCCUCAGCUGGACAUUAACACAGUGGCAGCUGGGGGAGGCUCCCGGCUCUUCUUCAGGUCUGGCCUUUUUGUGGUUGGGCCCGAGUCAGCGGGAGCUCACCCAGGCCCUGCUUGCUACCGCAAAGGGGGCCCUGCAACAGUGACGGAUGCUAAUCUGGUCCUGGGUCGCCUGCUGCCUGCCUCCUUCCCCUGCAUUUUUGGGCCGGGAGAGGACCAGCCACUAUCCCCUGAGGCCUCCCGCAAGGCCUUGGAGGCUGUGGCCACUGAGGUCAACAGCUUCCUGACCAACGGGCCCAGCCCGGCCUCCCCGCUGAGCCUGGAGGAGGUGGCCAUGGGGUUUGUGCGUGUGGCCAACGAGGCUAUGUGCCGGCCCAUCCGUGCACUCACGCAGGCACGAGGCCAUGACCCCUCGGCCCAUGUGCUGGCCUGCUUCGGGGGAGCUGGUGGGCAGCAUGCUUGUGCCAUUGCUCGGGCCCUGGGCAUGGACACAGUGCACAUCCACAGGCACAGUGGGCUGCUGUCAGCACUGGGGCUAGCCUUGGCAGAUGUGGUACAUGAAGCACAGGAGCCCUGUGCCCUGUCCUAUGCACCUGAGACCUUUGUGCAGCUGGACCAGAGGUUGAACCGUCUGGAGGAGCAAUGCAUGGAUGCCCUCCGGGCCCAGGGCUUCUCCAGGUCUCAGAUCAGCACUGAGAGCUUUCUGCAUCUGCGCUACCAGGGCACAGACUGUGCCCUGAUGGUAUCUGCCCACCAGCACCCGGCCACAGCCCGGUCACCCCGGGCUGGCGACUUUGGGGCAGCCUUUGUGGAGAGGUAUAUGAAGGAGUUUGGCUUUGUCAUCCCUGAGCGGCCAGUGGUGGUGGACGACGUGAGAGUGAGGGGCACCGGUCACAGCAGGCUUCGCCUUGAGGAUGCCCCUAAAGUCCAGACCGGGCCUCCCCGGGUAGACAAGAUGACCCAGUGCUACUUUGAGGGGGGCUACCAGGAAACCCCUGUGUACCUGUUGGGAGAGCUGGGCUAUGGGCACAAGCUCCAGGGGCCCUGCCUCAUCAUCGACAGCAACAGCACCAUCCUAGUGGAGCCAGGUUGCCAGGCAGAGGUGAUUGAGACAGGGGACAUCCGCAUCUCUGUGGGGGCUGAAGCCUCCAGUACAGUGGGCACUCAGGUUGACCCCAUCCAGCUGUCCAUCUUCUCACACCGUUUCAUGAGCAUUGCUGAGCAGAUGGGCCGUAUCCUGCAGCGCACAGCCAUCUCCACCAACAUCAAGGAGCGCCUUGACUUCUCCUGUGCCCUCUUUGGGCCUGACGGGGGGCUGGUCUCCAAUGCUCCCCACAUCCCUGUGCACCUUGGUGCCAUGCAGGAGACUGUGCAGUUCCAGAUCCAGCACUUGGGGGCUGACCUCCACCCUGGUGAUGUGUUGCUGAGUAACCACCCCAGCGCGGGGGGCAGCCAUCUUCCAGACCUGACUGUCAUCACACCGGUGUUUUGGCCAGGUCAGACACGGCCUGUGUUCUAUGUGGCCAGUCGAGGGCACCACGCAGACAUUGGGGGCAUUACCCCGGGUUCCAUGCCCCCCCACUCCACCUCGCUGCAGCAGGAGGGGGCCGUCUUCCUAUCUUUCAAACUUGUCCAGGGGGGUGUCUUCCAGGAGGAGGCGGUGACUGAAGCCCUGCGGGCUCCAGGCAAGAUCCCUACCUGUAGUGGAACAAGGAAUCUGCAUGACAACCUGUCAGAUCUUCGUGCCCAGGUGGCAGCCAACCAGAAGGGCAUCCAGUUGGUGGGGGAGCUCAUUGGGCAGUAUGGCCUGGAUGUGGUGCAGGCUUACAUGGGCCAUAUUCAGGCAAAUGCUGAGUUGGCAGUUCGUGACAUGCUGAGGACCUUUGGAAGUUCUCGGCAGAACCGGGGCCUGCCUCUGGAGGUGUCUGCAGAGGACCACAUGGAUGACGGUUCCCCCAUCCGCCUCCGUGUGCAGAUCAACCCAAGUCAGGGCAGUGCAGUGUUUGACUUCAGCAGCACUGGGCCUGAGGUAUUUGGCAACCUCAACGCACCUCGGGCCAUAACGCUGUCCGCCCUCAUCUACUGCUUACGCUGCCUAGUAGGCCGGGACAUCCCACUCAACCAGGGCUGCCUGGCACCAGUGCGGGUCGUGAUUCCCAGAGGUUCCAUCCUGGACCCCUCCCCCGAGGCGGCGGUGGUAGGCGGCAAUGUGCUCACGUCGCAGCGCGUGGUAGAUGUCAUCCUCAGGGCCUUUGGAGCCUGUGCAGCUUCCCAGCCACUUGCCCUGGACAGGGCUGCAUGAACAACGUGACCCUGGGCAAUGCCCACAUGGGCUACUAUGAGACGGUGGCAGGCGGCACAGGCGCGGGCCCUGGCUGGCAUGGGCGCAGCGGCGUGCACAGCCACAUGACCAACACACGCAUCACUGACCCCGAGAUCCUGGAGAACCGGUACCCGGUCAUCUUGCGCCGUUUCGAGCUGAGGCCGGGCUCUGGGGGCCGAGGCCGCUUCCGUGGUGGUGACGGUGUGAUCCGUGAGCUGCUUUUCCGAGAGGAGGCUCUACUAUCAGUGCUGACAGAGCGCCGUGCCUUCAGGCCGUAUGGCCUCCAGGGGGGUGAGCCUGGUGCCCGUGGCCUAAACCUGCUGAUCCGUAAGGAUGGCCGGGCAGUGAAUCUGGGUGGGAAGACGUCGGUGCCCGUGUACCCAGGGGAUGUAUUCUGCCUCCACACGCCAGGUGGUGGGGGCUACGGGGACCCGGAGGACCCCGCCCCACCGCCAGGGUCGCCCCCGCAACCCCUGGCCUUCCCCGAGCGUGGCAGCGUCUAUGAUUACCGCCGGGCCCAGGAGGCUGUGUGAGGGCCUCCACAAUAAAGAUCCGUUCAGCCCCCUGGUUCUUAGGGUGUGGCUACCGGGCC